AGAAGGGGCAUAAGGACAGACAGCACAGGGAACAACAUGCAGAUUAAACAGUGGUUAUUUUUGAUGUCUGUAACCAUCGCAUCAGGGCUCCAUGCAGGCAGGUCAUUGCUUUUCCAUCCAUGGUACCCACCGCUGGACAAAUGACGGACAAUCUUCAACGGUAUAUUUUUGACUGGAGUUGAACAUCUGGACAAAAGUUUUUUGUACUCCAUGAUGGAAAGAUGUUUCCAACCUUGUUUCCUUCUGCAGGAGAUUAGACCAUUGUCCAGCAGAAACUCUACACCCUCUAAACAGUCUCUGAGUCUCUGGACAAUCAGGCUCCUCAGAGUUGUUCCCUCGAUCCUCGCUCCUCAGUGCUGAGACUUGAGACGUCCUUCAACAUGGUGGAAUGGAACGACGCCUCUUUGAAGCGAGGAUCCAGGAGUGAGGAAUCGAUAAUAAGACACAUGAGGA
Molecule: non-coding RNA, 453 nt
Organism: Labrus bergylta (ballan wrasse)
Lineage: Eukaryota; Metazoa; Chordata; Actinopteri; Labriformes; Labridae
Source: RefSeq, a predicted model, not a curated record